This 110-nucleotide ribosomal RNA is filed under the name Aspidisca orthopogon. RNAcentral's name for it is "5.8S ribosomal RNA". It matches the Rfam family "5.8S ribosomal RNA", at positions 1 to 111 of the family's 154-position model. From Rfam's summary of the family: 5.8S ribosomal RNA (5.8S rRNA) is a component of the large subunit of the eukaryotic ribosome. It is transcribed by RNA polymerase I as part of the 45S precursor that also contains 18S and 28S rRNA. Lineage: Eukaryota; Ciliophora; Spirotrichea; Euplotida; Aspidiscidae. The record is from RNAcentral.
UAAAGUUUCAACGGUGGAUGUCUUGGAUCCCAUAUCGAUGAAGAACGCAGCAAAGUGCGAUAAUUAUCGGCGAUUUGCAAACUGUGAGUCAUCAGAUGUCGAACGCAAUU